GUGUGCCAUUGCAAGAAAUAGUUUUGCUCGUUAUUUUGUCAUAUUAAAAAAAAUUCUCAACAAAAUUUUCCCGUUUAAACUGUACUAGAAAAAAGUUUGGCAUGUGAAACGGACGAAAACAUAUUCUAACAGAAGUACAAAUACCAGUCCUCUCUUUUGUGUAUACAUAUGAGAAAACAUUUCAAAGUUAUUGAUUGAAUUCAAAUCCAUCACACAUAC
RNAcentral lists this long non-coding RNA (219 nucleotides) under Mytilus galloprovincialis (Mediterranean mussel). Lineage: Eukaryota; Metazoa; Mollusca; Bivalvia; Mytilida; Mytilidae. The record is from RNAcentral.